This 434-nucleotide ribosomal RNA is filed under the name Klebsiella pneumoniae. RNAcentral's name for it is "partial 23S ribosomal RNA". It matches the Rfam family "Bacterial large subunit ribosomal RNA", at positions 1 to 474 of the family's 2925-position model. The record is from RNAcentral. Lineage: Bacteria; Pseudomonadati; Pseudomonadota; Gammaproteobacteria; Enterobacterales; Enterobacteriaceae. RNAcentral also lists the same sequence under 2 other names.
GGUUAAGCGACUAAGCGUACACGGUGGAUGCCCUGGCAGUCAGAGGCGAUGAAGGACGUGCUAAUCUGCGAAAAGCGUCGGUAAGGUGAUAUGAACCGUUAUAGCCGGCGAUGUCCGAAUGGGGAAACCCAGUGCAAUUCGUUGCACUAUCGUUAACUGAAUACAUAGGUUAACGAGGCGAACCGGGGGAACUGAAACAUCUAAGUACCCCGAGGAAAAGAAAUCAACCGAGAUUCCCCCAGUAGCGGCGAGCGAACGGGGAGCAGCCCAGAGUCUGAAUCAGCUUGUGUGUUAGUGGAACGGUCUGGAAAGUCCGACGGUACAGGGUGAUAGUCCCGUACACCAAAAUGCACAGGUUGUGAACUCGAAGAGUAGGGCGGGACACGUGGUAUCCUGUCUGAAUAUGGGGGGACCAUCCUCCAAGGCUAAAUACU